UAAAUAGCCAGGCCGGCUUUUGCUGGUCGCCGGCUUCUUAGAGGGACUGCGGUUGCGUCUAGCCCGCGGAAGUUUGAGGCAAUAACAGGUCUGUGAUGCCCUUAGAUGUUCUGGGCCGCACGCGC
RNAcentral lists this ribosomal RNA (125 nucleotides) under Tomentella sp. RNAcentral describes it as "partial small subunit ribosomal RNA". It matches the Rfam family "Eukaryotic small subunit ribosomal RNA", at positions 1352 to 1495 of the family's 1831-position model. Lineage: Eukaryota; Fungi; Basidiomycota; Agaricomycetes; Thelephorales; Thelephoraceae. The record is from RNAcentral.